GAACGCUGGCGGCGUGCUUAACACAUGCAAGUCGAGCGGAAAGGCCCUUCGGGGUACUCGAGCGGCGAACGGGUGAGUAACACGUGAGCAACCUGCCCUAGGCUUUGGGAUAACCCCGGGAAACCGGGGCUAAUACCGAAUAGGACCNGGCNUCGCAUGAGGCUUGGUGGAAAGUUUUUCGGCCUGGGAUGGGCUCGCGGCCUAUCAGCUUGUUGGUGGGGUGAUGGCCUACCAAGGCGACGACGGGUAGCCGGCCUGAGAGGGCGACCGGCCACACUGGGACUGAGACACGGCCCAGACUCCUACGGGAGGCAGCAGUGGGGAAUAUUGCACAAUGGGCGGAAGCCUGAUGCAGCGACGCCGCGUGAGGGAUGACGGCCUUCGGGUUGUAAACCUCUUUCAGCAGGGACGAAGCGUAAGUGACGGUACCUGCAGAAGAAGCGCCGGCCAACUACGUGCCAGCAGCCGCGGUAAGACGUAGGGCGCGAGCGUUGUCCGGAUUUAUUGGGCGUAAAGAGCUCGUAGGCGGC
This 530-nucleotide ribosomal RNA is filed under the name Micromonospora palomenae. RNAcentral describes it as "bacterial SSU rRNA". It matches the Rfam family "Bacterial small subunit ribosomal RNA", at positions 31 to 579 of the family's 1533-position model. Lineage: Bacteria; Bacillati; Actinomycetota; Actinomycetes; Micromonosporales; Micromonosporaceae. The record is from RNAcentral.